GGAGCGGUGUCCGAGCGGUUUAAGGAGGCGGUCUUGAAAACCGUUGAACCCGCGAGGGUUCCGGGGGUUCGAAUCCCCCCUGCUCCGCUA
Molecule: transfer RNA, 90 nt
Filed under: Treponema sp.
Lineage: Bacteria; Pseudomonadati; Spirochaetota; Spirochaetia; Treponematales; Treponemataceae
Also listed under: 4 other names
Description: tRNA-Ser
Rfam family: tRNA
About the family: Transfer RNA (tRNA) molecules are approximately 80 nucleotides in length. Their secondary structure includes four short double-helical elements and three loops (D, anti-codon, and T loops). Further hydrogen bonds mediate the characteristic L-shaped molecular structure. tRNAs have two regions of fundamental functional importance: the anti-codon, which is responsible for specific mRNA codon recognition, and the 3' end, to which the tRNAs corresponding amino acid is attached (by aminoacyl-tRNA synthetases). tRNAs cope with the degeneracy of the genetic code in two manners: having more than one tRNA (with a specific anti-codon) for a particular amino acid; and 'wobble' base-pairing, i.e. permitting non-standard base-pairing at the 3rd anti-codon position.
Source: RNAcentral